AUAGCUUUAGCUGAUGAAUUUAAAGAUUCACGUUUCACAGUGAAUAAAGAAGCAUCUCAGUAUAUAUUUACUAUUAGAAAUGUCAGCAAAGAGGAUGAAGCAACAUAUUUCUGUCAAACACGAACCACAUAUUCACAGAUGUUCAGCAGUGGCACAUUCUUGGCUGUGAAAGAUCACAAUCAUCAGAAAUCUGUUUACGUGAAACAAAAUCCAGAGAAAGAGUCUGUUCUUCUGGGAGACUCUGUGACACUUGAGUGUUCACUUCUCUCCAAGAACAAAGAAAAAGCACUCCAAUGUCCAGAUGACCACAGUGUGUACUGGUUCAGAGCUGGAUCUGAAAGAUUUACUCCAAACAUCAUUUACACUCUCGUGAACAACGGUGAUGAAGCUCUUAAGAGACGAUGUUCCUACAGCCUGACCAAAACAAUACAGAACUCCUCUGAUGCUGGGACUUACUACUGUGCUGUUGUCACAUGUGGGGAGAUCCUGCUUGGUGAAGGAACUAAAGUAGAGACAACAAUCGAAGGAAUGUUUGUCAACGUUGCACAGGAAAAAUGAUUGGCUCCCAUCAUAUUGGCAAGUCAACAGUGGACCAAUCAAAUUCCAUAAAUACGCUUCUGACACUACAACCAGCUGUGCAGCACUGGGUUUCCCCAGAAAAAUAAAGAUGAGAAGAGCAUACACGGAGUGUGUGUACUCUGUUCUCAAAG
Molecule: non-coding RNA, 710 nt
Organism: Oreochromis niloticus (Nile tilapia)
Lineage: Eukaryota; Metazoa; Chordata; Actinopteri; Cichliformes; Cichlidae
Source: the annotation of a RefSeq genome assembly